UACGUAGGGUGCGAGCGUUAAUCGGAAUUAGUGGGCGUAAAGCGUGCGCAGGCGGCUUUGCAAGACAGAUGUGAAAUCCCCGGGCUCAACCUGGGAACUGCAUUUGUGACUGCAAGGCUAGAGUACGGCAGAGGGGGAUGGAAUUCCGCGUGUAGCAGUGAAAUGCGUAGAUAUGCGGAGGAACACCAAUGGCGAAGGCAAUCCCCUGGGCCUGUACUGACGCUCAUGCACGAAAGCGUGGGGAGCAAACAGG
RNAcentral lists this ribosomal RNA (253 nucleotides) under uncultured bacterium. Its description in RNAcentral is "partial 16S ribosomal RNA". It matches the Rfam family "Bacterial small subunit ribosomal RNA", at positions 524 to 776 of the family's 1533-position model. The record is from RNAcentral.